UCUUUGGUAGUAUAGUGGUUAGUAUACUCGCUUGUCAUUGACAAACCGCGAGUGACCGGGGUUCAAUUCCCCGCCAGAGAG
Molecule: transfer RNA, 81 nt
Filed under: Morchella angusticeps
Lineage: Eukaryota; Fungi; Ascomycota; Pezizomycetes; Pezizales; Morchellaceae
Also listed under: 8 other names
Description: tRNA-Asp
Rfam family: tRNA
About the family: Transfer RNA (tRNA) molecules are approximately 80 nucleotides in length. Their secondary structure includes four short double-helical elements and three loops (D, anti-codon, and T loops).
Source: RNAcentral